AGUGAACGCUGGCGGCGGGCCUAACACAUGCAAGUCGAACGACAACACAAUAAGAUUGUGCUCUUACCGGUAGCGGCUGGCGGACGAGUGACGCAUACAUCACCAUCUUCUUUUUCGUGGAGGAUAACGUAAGGCAGCUUACUAUAAUACCGAAUAUAAUGUACCGCUGAGUGCAAUAGAUCUUCUCAGCUUUCCCGUCUGUAUUAGCCGAUUCCGAAUUAGCUAGUUGGCUGGGUAAGGGCCCACCAAGGCGACGAUACGUAGCUUGACUGAGAGGAUGAUCGGCCACACUGGAACUGAGACACGGUCCAGACUCCUACGGGAGGCAGCAGUGGGGAAUCUUGGGCAAUGGGCGAAAGCCUGACACAGCAAUACCGCGUGGGUGAAGAAGGCCUUCGGGUCGUAAAGCCCUUUUGUUGGGAAAGAAAAGCAGUAGGAGUAUACCUGGCUGUUUUGACGGUACCCAAUAAAUAAGCACCGGCUAACUACGUG
This 492-nucleotide ribosomal RNA is filed under the name uncultured bacterium. RNAcentral's name for it is "partial 16S ribosomal RNA". It matches the Rfam family "Bacterial small subunit ribosomal RNA", at positions 29 to 507 of the family's 1533-position model. The record is from RNAcentral.